Molecule: ribosomal RNA, 508 nt
Filed under: uncultured Prevotella sp.
Lineage: Bacteria; Pseudomonadati; Bacteroidota; Bacteroidia; Bacteroidales; Prevotellaceae
Description: bacterial SSU rRNA
Rfam family: Bacterial small subunit ribosomal RNA
Source: RNAcentral
UAGCUAUAGGCUUAAACACAUGCAAAGUCGAGGGGAAAACGGCAGAGAGUGCUUGCACACUUUUGGGACGUCGACCGGCGCACGGGUGAGUAAACGCGUAUCCAACCUGCCCUUUACUUGGGGAUAACCCGUUGAAAGACGGACUAAUACCCAAUGAUAUUCAUUGAUGACAUCUGAUUUGAAUUAAAGAUUUAUCGGUAUAGGAUGGGGAUGCGUCUGAUUAGCUUGUUGGUGAGGUAACGGCUCACCCAAGGCCCACGAUCAGUAGGGGUUCUGAGAGGAAGGUCCCCCACAUUGGAACUGAGACACGGUCCAAACUCCUACGGGAGGCAGCAGUGAGGAAUAUUGGUCAAUGGACGAGAGUCUGAACCAGCCAAGUAGCGUGCAGGAUGACGGCCCUAUGGGUUGUAAACUGCUUUUGUUUGGGAAUAAUCGACAUUACGUGUAAUGUUUUGCAUGUACCAUUCGAAUAAGGACCGGCUAAUUCCGUGCCAGCAGCCGCGGUAAU